This 484-nucleotide ribosomal RNA is filed under the name uncultured bacterium. RNAcentral's name for it is "partial 16S ribosomal RNA". It matches the Rfam family "Bacterial small subunit ribosomal RNA", at positions 28 to 507 of the family's 1533-position model. The record is from RNAcentral.
AUUGAACGCUGGCGGCAUGCUUUACACAUGCAAGUCGAACGGCAGCGCGGGCUUCGGCCUGGCGGCGAGUGGCGAACGGGUGAGUAAUACAUCGGAACGUGCCCAGUUGCGUGGGAUAGCUCGGCGAAAUCCGGAUUAAUACCGCAUACGCCCUGAGGGUGAAAGCGGGGGAUCUUCGGACCUCGCGCUAUUGGAGCGGCCGAUGGCCGAUUAGCUAGUUGGUGGGGUAAAGGCCUACCAAGGCGACGAUCGGUAGCUGGUCUGAGAGGCCGACCGGCCACCCGGGGACUGAGACGCGGCCCAGACUCCUACGGGAGGCAGCAGUGGGGAAUUUUGGACAAUGGGCGAAAGCCUGAUCCAGCAAUGCCGCGUGUGUGAUGAAGGCCUUCGGGUUGUAAAGCACUUUUGGCGGGAACGAAAAGGAAUGUGCCAAUACCACGGUUCGAUGACGGUACCCGCAGAAUAAGCACCGGCUAACUACGUG